This 21-nucleotide microRNA is filed under the name Zea mays. Its description in RNAcentral is "miRt20". Lineage: Eukaryota; Viridiplantae; Streptophyta; Magnoliopsida; Poales; Poaceae. The record is from RNAcentral.
UCUACACUCAUACGGCUCUCA